CAACCUCCUGUUGGGCCUAUAAGUGCGGUCUGUCGGGAUCAAUCAGGAGCAUUUGCUGGGUCAGCAGCGGUGGUAUUCCAUGGCAUGACCGACCCGAACAUACUGGAAGCUUUGGCAUGCCGCGAGGUUAUUGCUUUAGCCAGGGACCUUGCACUUACUCAUUUGAAGGUAGCUUCGGAUUGCCUUUCGGUGGUCAAGGACAUACAUACUGGCACUAUGGGUACAAUUGCUCCAAUCGUGGAGGAGAUCAUCGACUCGAGUAGGGAGUUUCAGUCUUGUUCUUUCGUCUAUGAGAGACGUCUCUCUAAUAAGGAGGCUCAUGGCUUAGCUCGACAUGCUUUACAUUUAGGGGAGGGUCGCCAUGUAUGGCUGUUAUACCCUCAUGAUACUUCUAUUAUUCCUGUAAUUCGCUCUGUUGAUCAAUAA
RNAcentral lists this ribosomal RNA (426 nucleotides) under Triticum aestivum (bread wheat). RNAcentral's name for it is "partial small subunit ribosomal RNA". The record is from RNAcentral. Lineage: Eukaryota; Viridiplantae; Streptophyta; Magnoliopsida; Poales; Poaceae.